AGUUGAAGGGAAUCAGGGGAAGCUUUCUAAAGGAAGUGGCAUUUGGUCUAUACGUUGAGGGGCAGGUAAAUAUCUGAGUGGAAUGACUGGAUCAUAUGGGGUGAGACAAAAUGUGCCAUGAGUGAUGGCCUUUGGUGAUCUACAGACAUCCCUGGCUCUAGCAAUCAUUUGUGUAGGGAGGUAAGCAGACAAGUCAUUGCCAGGAGACUUAGAUUCUUGUCUUGUCCCUUCCGCAAACUAGCUGUGUGACACUGAGAAAGUCUCUUAAGCUCAUAAUAACUGGAUUUCCUGUUCCAUAAAUGAAGAGGCUGGCAUCUCAGGUUCCUUCUAAGUUUCAAAUUAUAAUUUUGACACCACUGAGUAUGGAUGUUUUAAGAACCUGAAGGAAAGAGAGAUCCAUUUGAUCUGGAGCUGGUAGAAAAGCCAUCAAGGAGUAGCUGGGAGAGGAAACAGGCGCCUCGGGGGAAGACUUCAAGAAAAGGCAGAGGGUUGGAGUGAGAGGUAGAGACAGUAGAGAAAAAAAGCCUGGGGCUGGGGAAGGCGUGGUGGGGUAGGGGGUGGUUCCACAUCUUUCACCCACAGGAACUCCAGCCCAUGAAGAUCCUGGCACAAGUUUCUGCUUUUAAGGUUGUUCUGUGGAUGAAACUCCCGAAAGCUGUCGGUACCAUUAGGAAAUGAUUAGCUAUUAAAUGCCAAAUCUGCUGCCUUACAGUAUAGUUACUCGUUAGUGUUUUAAGGGGAUGUUAUGCUUGUUGUUUUCUUAAACUAGUAGGCAGACAAGAGGAGAGCAAA
RNAcentral lists this long non-coding RNA (792 nucleotides) under Homo sapiens (human). RNAcentral describes it as "novel transcript". Lineage: Eukaryota; Metazoa; Chordata; Mammalia; Primates; Hominidae. The record is from RNAcentral.